GGCUCACCUUGUAUCUUUACAACACUAGAUAAAUCCUAAAAUUCACUCCCAAGAUUAAUAGCAUUCUUCUCUCAUUCUUUAUUUUAUGGGAUAUUCUUUAAUUAAUGUAAUGUUAAGAUUAAUAACAUACUUCUCUCAUUAUUGAUUCUAUGGGAUAUUCUUUAAUUAAUGUGGUGUUGUUAUUUUGAACAAGAUGGUGACCCA
This 204-nucleotide long non-coding RNA is filed under the name Elaeis guineensis (African oil palm). RNAcentral describes it as "long non-coding RNA (EGUI_LNC034786)". The record is from RNAcentral. Lineage: Eukaryota; Viridiplantae; Streptophyta; Magnoliopsida; Arecales; Arecaceae.